AUUCUACCCAUCUCCUUACUCAGGACGCCAUCGCGGGUUUCCCAGGGCCAACCAUUCCCGCCGCGCCACCCUAAGACGCGCCCGGCGCCCAAACACUGAGGAAGCGGGUGGGGUCCCCUGCGGCCCCUGCAGCGGGAGGGGCGCCCGGACGUCACAGCAGGGCCGCCCGCCCGCCUCGCGGCCUCCCGCCUCCCGCCCCGCGGACCCCGCGCGUCCCCCGCGCUCCUUCCGUGGCCCAGGUCCCAGGCGAGCUCCGCCCCUCAGACCAGCGCGCUCGAGGUCGCCCCGCCACAGCCCGUCCUCUACCCGCCUCUGCUGGAAAACAGGCCGCAGAAUAUAGGUGUUCUCGGGCUCCCCUGCGUUCUUCUCAGCCUCAGGCACCCCGUCGCCCACCGAGAAGGACACUCCGAUGGACGUGGCCAUGCCGGGGCUUCUCGGUCCGGGCGUAGCUCGCGAUGAAGGCCUAGCGGGUUGCGGUCGCGGCCGGCAGCAGGGAAAGCGUCUCCAGGGCAACAGGGCCGCCCUCCCGCCUCGCUGAAGCCCGCGAGCGCCCCGCACAGCCGCCCUCCCUGCCCGCGCCUGCGCACCGGCUGCUGGGCGGGAACUGGUCGCGUCCGGACGCGCGACAGCUUCCACCCGCCUCAGGCAGUAUCAGCCGCGCCGCAGUCGGAGGAAAUAGACGCGGGGCCUGAGGCUCCUGGACUUGAGCAAGCCUGUUACCCUCUGUGAGCCUCAACUUCUCUAUGUGUAACAAAUGGCCAACUUUAUGGGAUUGUCAAGAAGCUGAAAUGAGACCCUGGCUGGAGGAUAUUUUAUGGACUAUAAAUUCCUAAACAAUUAUAAUAACUUAGUUAUUUAUCCUAUCCAUGGAUCACCUGGAAGUUUACAAUGUGAUUUAAAAUGCAUUCUAUCAUUCCACCGACCUGCAGUGAAUUUUGUUGUCAUUAUUACUCCAGGGAUACCUAAAGGGGAAGUUUGUUUAUAAUUCGUACCCACUCCUUGUAGAAAGGAUUCAAGACAGCCGAUGAUGAAAACACCCAUGCUUGCAAGUGAAGGUUCUGCCUGUCACUUCUCGCAGAGGCUGCAGAAAAGGCCCAGGAGGCUGUUGAUGACAUGAACGACCACCAGGAGAAGCUGGAGCAGGCUGAUGCACAGAAGGGCGGAGAAGAGGGACACGUGCCAGACAACAGCUGCAGAGGGCUCCAGGCAGACGGAGUUCCAGAGCGAACGGUCAUACAGAUAAUUCCUAUCCCAAAAAAUAAGGAGACCAGGGGUCAGGCGAUAAGUAAGGAAAGCCAAACAGGCAACCCCAGUAGAAAACUGGGGUCUCCCCUGACCGGGUCAUGGGACUGGGCUCAUGAGGGUGACCGUUACUGCUCCAUUUGCAAUUUUCUGAGUAUCAGAGGAGCAAGAUGCUAGGAUGUGUGACCCAAAGGAGCUUGUAGUUCGUCUGUGUGUCUUUUUGUCUCUCUCUCUCUCUCUGUCUGAAAAGACCAAGCCCAAGCCUCCACCCAUUUACCUACUAUGCAGGUCUUUGAAUGGGUAACCAUAUUUCCAAGCUUGUGUCUGAUUGAAGGAUGAAACAUCAAACAUGCAAAAAGGACCAUCUUUCAGAGCAACUCCAGAAGUGACAAAGCAAAUCAGGGCUCCAAGUAAAGCCAGGCCACCUGACAACAGAGCAGUAAGCACCUGCGGAGGGAGGAGAAACACUGAGCUAAGACGGGGUCGCAGCUGGGGAGCCUGCGGAGGGAGGAGAAACGCUGAGCUAAGACGGGGUCGCAGCUGGGGAGUCUGUGGGGCGGUCUGCACAGGUCUGACUUCUCUGGUCUCAGUGUUCUUCCGUCCUGUCAUGGGGGAGAAUUCUGUCCAUGGCACCCCCUUUGAAGCAUAACCCAUGGUGGGGAGGCCGUGAGGGGUUUCUAGGAGAGAAAGGACCAAGAAGCAGAAUCGCAGGCCCCGGAUCUCCCUGACCGUGAGUUCGCCUGAGCUGCUCAGCAGCUUGGCAUCACAAACCUUUUGCACAUUACAGCCAUUCAGCCUCUGAGCUAAAGAAGAAGCUACCACAGGCCCACCACUGACUCUUCUAAGGAAAAGCUGCAUUUUCAAAAGUUCCAGGUUCCCAACUCUGAUUCUUCUCUAUUUCAAAUCAAGGAUAAAAAAAAGGAAGGGAGGGAAGGAAGGAAAGAAAGAAGCAGGAAAGAAGGGAAGGAGAGAAGUGGGAGGGAGGGAAAGAAGGGAGAGAAACAGCGAGAGAGAAGCUGCAGCCAAGCUCUGAAAUGACUCCACUUCUGUCGCUGUGUUUCUCCAGCUGAGAGCUUUCUUGGCCAUCAGUCUGUGCUCCCACUGCCCUCCCAGAAAAUAACUGGGUUUCCUUCCUUGACAGGUUUCUAGCCUGCUUCUACAUUGGCUUCUUUCUCGUUCCUUCCUUCCUUCCCUUCCUUCCUUCUUUCUCUCUCUCUCUUUCUUUUUGAGACAGAGUCUCACUCUGUCGCCCAGGCUGGAGUGCAGUGGCACGAUCUCAGCUCACUGCAACCUCUGCCUCUGAGUUCAAGCGAUUCUCCUGCCUCAGCCUCCCAAGUAGCUGGGACUACAAGCAUGCGCCACCACACCCAGCUAAUUUUUGUAUUUUUAGUAGAAAUGGGGUUUCACUGUGUUGGUCAUGCCGGUCUCAAUCUCCUGACCUUGUGAUCCACCUGCUUCAGCCUCCCAAAGUGCUGGGAUUACAGGCAUGAGCCACCGUGCCCGGCCCAUAUUGGAUUCUUUCUUAGGGUUCUAGAUUUUUUUCUCCCUCCCCCAAAAAUGCCUAUUUUAAAAAUGUGAAUAACACCUACAUAGCGUUUUUCUGCAGAGUCAUGGAGUCAUUCUCCCACUGAGGUCAAGCUGGUUUGGAGUUGGGGAGGGAUCAGACAAAGGUGCAUAGUAAGUUUUGACUCUGAGUUAAAGGAGUCAAGAUGAAUCAGUAAGCCUAGGGCAGUGGUUCCCAAAAUGGGGUCCCUGCCCAGCCGCAUCACAUCACCUGAGAACCUGUUAGAAAUGCAAAACUUCCCCGCCAUCCUGAAUCAGAAACUCUGGGGAGGGAGCCCAGCAAUCCGUGUUCCGGCAAAAGCCCUCCAGGUGAUUCUCAUGCACAUUCAAGUGUCAGAACUACGUGCCACGGGGAAAACCAGAAUGAGAACAGACAGUGAAUGAAAUGUGCAAGUGUUUAUUUAUUUAUCUAUGUACUUAUUUAUUUAUUUAUUUUGAAACGGAGUCUCGCUCUGUCGCCCAGGCUGGAGUGCAGUGGCGCCAUCUCGGCUCACUGCAAGCUCCGCCUCCCGGGUUCAAGAGAUUUUCCUGCCUCAGCCUCCUGAGUUGCUGGGAUUACAGGCGCCCACCACCACGCCCAGCUAAUUUUUGUAUUUUUGGUAGAGACGGGGUUUCACCAUGUUGGCCAGGCUGGUCUCAAACUCCUGACCUCAGGUGAUCCGCCCAUCUUGGCCUCCCAAAGUGCUGGGAUUACAGGCGUGAGCCACCGCGCCUGGCCUAUAUUUGAUUUUUUAACAUGUAACUGAGUCAGUGGGCUUCCCAACAUGUGGGCUGCAGAUAUCAGAGCAGGCUGUGGAGUUACCAUAAGGCCACAGAUUCAUGUCUGAGAACGAGUGUGUGUGUGUGUGUGUGUGUGUGUUUGUUACACACACAUAUACUGAGAUCUUUCAAGUUUAUACAGUUGCUGCUGUAAUUAAUAAGGUAGAAAUUUAUUCUGGGCCUCAGUUUAUCUGUAAAAUGGAGGGGUUAGAUUAGAAUCUAGUGAUUAGAUGAUCUCUGGAAAACUUUCCUGUUCUAAGAAAAUAUUAGUUAAAAUAACUAGGAAAAUUUCCAUCAAUGACACAUGAUUACAGUGUCAUAACUCAUGUCCAUAUUGUCCAACACCCUAAGAGAGUAACAGUUUCUCACACUGGUACAGACGUCUGGGUCCUCACACUGGUACAGACGUCUGGGCUUCACUAAGCACUACUCCCUUGACUUGAUCAGCUCCCAUUUUACAGAUGAAAGCCUGAAACUGGAAAGAUGAAGCAACUUGCCCAAGAACUUAGCGUUACUGAGGGUCACAGUGAGGACCUGACUUCAGGCCCCAAGACCAAAAUUGCCUCUUUACCGCCCUGCCUCUAGAGUAAUAGAGGUGGAGACAUUCUGGGUGUUAGAAGAGUGGAAUCUGGUGCUUACGCUUCGACAGAGCCCACUCUUACUGAAGCAGCCGUAUCUCCAGCCCAUCAAGGAGAUGAGGAUAGCUGCAGUGAGUACCUGCAGGAGAGAGAAGAAUGUUGAGAUGGGGAAAUCGACUUUGCCGGCUGUUUCUAGGUGCUGCCCACAGCUGUUAGAGUGGCUGGCAGCUCACAUGAACGCAGUCCUGUUGACUCUGACUCUGGGGACCCACAUUUGUAUGACGAGCCUGAUCUAACGCUGUGGAUGUUAACUUUCACACCCGACCUGCCUGGUCCCAAGCUAGGCUUCCUGUCUCUUAGAGCUUCUACAGACCCAAGAUCAGCUUGUUAGAAUAAACUUUUCUGCAAG
RNAcentral lists this long non-coding RNA (4551 nucleotides) under Homo sapiens (human). Its description in RNAcentral is "HSALNT0317572". The record is from RNAcentral. Lineage: Eukaryota; Metazoa; Chordata; Mammalia; Primates; Hominidae.